This 489-nucleotide ribosomal RNA is filed under the name uncultured bacterium. Its description in RNAcentral is "partial 16S ribosomal RNA". It matches the Rfam family "Bacterial small subunit ribosomal RNA", at positions 30 to 506 of the family's 1533-position model. The record is from RNAcentral.
AUUGAACGCUGGCGGCAGGCCUAACACAUGCAAGUCGAACGGUAACAGGAAAUAGCUUGCUGUUUCGCUGACGAGUGGCGGACGGGUGAGUAAUGUCUGGGAAACUGCCUGAUGGAGGGGGAUAACUACUGGAAACGGUAGCUAAUACCGCAUAACGUCGCAAGACCAAAGAGGGGGACCCUCGGGCCUCUUGCCAUCGGAUGUGCCCAGAUGGGAUUAGCUUGUUGGUGGGGUAACGGCUCACCAAGGCGACGAUCCCUAGCUGGUCUGAGAGGAUGACCAGCCACACUGGAACUGAGACACGGUCCAGACUCCUACGGGAGGCAGCAGUGGGGAAUAUUGCACAAUGGGCGCAAGCCUGAUGCAGCCAUGCCGCGUGUAUGAAGAAGGCCUUCGGGUUGUAAAGUACUUUCAGCGGGGAGGAAGGGAGUAAAGUUAAUACCUUUGCUCAUUGACGUUACCCGCAGAAGAAGCACCGGCUAACUCCGU